AGGGAAUUUACUGGGCAGGCAGGUUACAAAGCUCUGUCGUGAUCAGUCAGGGUGACAGAUAUAUUUUAGACUUUUGUUAGUAACUUUGGCAUAAAAAGAUGGUGUUGAGGAAAUUUUUUCAUGAUAUCCAGUCGGUACCUAUUGCUGAUGCAGAAUGGGAAGAAAUUACUUACAGGAAGAAAUGAAUGACCUCAAAGUUUGGACUAAUAGAAGCAGGCUGGAAGUUCAUGGACUGAAGUGCGAGAUCAUGCACUUUGGGAUCUCUGAUAAGCUCUGAUAUAAACAGGAGCUUGUGGUUGGAAACAGUGGAAGAAGGGACAUACCUAAGUACUAGGAGUUCACUGGAUAGCUGGUAGCCAGCACUAUGUUUCAGGCACAAAAGGCAAAUGGAAUUUGUGAUUGAUCAUGUCUUCCCAGCUCAAAUCAGUAAGUAAUUUUGCCUGACAAGGCAUGAUGAAGCUAUAUCUGAGUGCCAUGUAUAACUCCAAUUUUUCAUGUUGAAAAAAGGGCAAAUUAAGAUUCCAUAAGUCCACAAAAGAGUUGCUGGGAUCAUGGGAAUAAUAAGCUUUUCUAUAAGAGGAAACUAAAUUUGCCAUAGUUUAUUUAGCCUAGCAAAAUGAAAUUUGAGCUGUGAUUUAUAUCCAUGGGAGAAAAUAUCAGAAAAGCAGUGCUUUUUAAAAGACAACAGUUGAAGACAAACAAAUUGAUAUAAACGGUUCUUGAGGAAAUAUGAGCUGCAGCUUAGAUUUCUAACUAGCAGAAGAGCCAUAUUCUGGAACAAAUAGUGACAUGGAACGAGAACAACUAACAGGUGUUACUAUGGAUCACCAUCCCUUUAGUAGAAGGGUAGUUCACUUUCCUGUGGCUGAAGCUGAUGGUAUGACCCAAAUGAAGCUUAUGGAGAAGCUUCAUAAUUUUUUACUUCAUCCUAAGUUAUUUUUGUUUGAUCAGUGCUUGAAUGGCAGUUUUGUAAGGAGUGUGUAGAAAUUGCACCAGAUUUUAUUUUUUAUUGUGAUUAAAUUGGUGAUGCCUUAACAUAUUUUCACUGUAGUAGGUUGAAUCUUCAUGCUGUAGGGAAAACUACCCUUUCUGGAAAGCCACAAAAUUUACCAAUCCUUAUAGUUUUGCAAGUGAAGGCAUUAAAGCUGCAUAAAAGUCAUCUGUCAUUAUCCUGCUGAAAGAUUAGCGAAUCAGUGUGCAGAGCUUGAAGAUGCUUUACAGUGUCAUCAUGUAUUCCAAAUUUCAUUGUCAUAAUUUAUCUUUCUAGAACACUCAUUUUCACACCAAUUAUUAGUACAAAUGGCAUACUUAUUCCACUUAAUGCAUUUAGAUUGACAAGAGGUUUGUACUUUCCAAUAAAGAAAAUAUUUUAAAUUCCCAGUUUAACUUGUGUUUGUAACUUACUUUAAGUACCUUUGUUAAAGGCCCUUCUCUACUUCCAUCUCUGAGAACCCAAGGACAGAAGAUAUCAUGAAACCUGAGUAAUUUUCUGUGCAUGAAAAAAACUCUCUUUACUUUUACACAGACAAAAUCUUGUUGAUAAACUUGUCAACAUGUUCAUGGUCUAAUCAGAACGACAAAGUAUUCAAAGAAGAAUCUUUCUGCCUCCUAAUGUCCUGAAAAUUGCAGGGGUUUUGUGAAAGAAUUUCUACAUUCAUUUUUCAUAGUUCUUCCAUGAUUUUGGGAAUCCUGAUUGUAUUUCCCCUUGAUCUUCUGUCCACAUAGUUUCUCUGCCCUGUCUCCUUUAGGUUUCAGGUAUCAUCUUCUCUGCUGACAUGAGCUUCAUUCCUUCCUUCUCCCAUGACUUGUUUGUCUUCAAAGCCACAGCCCAAAUAUGAAGGUGUAUAUAAGCUCUUUGCUGAAUCUGUCCAGGGUGGAGACAUAGCAAAUCUUGAACUGGAAGAUGCUGCAGAGUUCCUGAGUUCCAGGACAUUGAGAACUAAAUGCCAACUGAACCAUAAAGAGUAUUUCAGAAGAAUUCCUCAGAACCACCUUCUAAUGAGGGUUUCAGAAUGGAGUGAGAGGCCACUGUUUAAGUAGUGUGUGAAUGCUCUUACCUCAGUGGAUCCAGUGAAAGCAAUUUUAUCAAUGCCAACAUGAGAAGCUAUGGCUGCACCAACA
Non-coding RNA from Cyanistes caeruleus (blue tit), 2121 nucleotides. NCBI's taxonomy places the organism in Eukaryota, Metazoa, Chordata, Aves, Passeriformes, Paridae. The record is from RefSeq and is a predicted model, not a curated record.